UACGGAGGGUGCAAGCGUUGUCCGGAAUCACUGGGCGUAAAGGGCGCGUAGGCGGCUCGGUAAGUAGGGGGUGAAAUCCUGCGGCUUAACCGCAGGGCUGCCUUCUAAACUGUCGAGCUCGAGCACGGUAGAGGCAGAUGGAAUUCCCGGUGUAGCGGUGGAAUGCGUAGAGAUCGGGAAGAACAUCAGUGGCGAAGGCGGUCUGCUGGGCCGUUGCUGACACUGAGGCGCGACAGCGUGGGGAGCAAACAGG
RNAcentral lists this ribosomal RNA (253 nucleotides) under uncultured bacterium. RNAcentral's name for it is "partial 16S ribosomal RNA". It matches the Rfam family "Bacterial small subunit ribosomal RNA", at positions 524 to 776 of the family's 1533-position model. The record is from RNAcentral.